Molecule: ribosomal RNA, 266 nt
Filed under: Syngnathus abaster (black-striped pipefish)
Lineage: Eukaryota; Metazoa; Chordata; Actinopteri; Syngnathiformes; Syngnathidae
Description: partial 12S ribosomal RNA
Rfam family: Bacterial small subunit ribosomal RNA
Source: RNAcentral
UUACUCGCGAUCCGCCAGGGAACUACAAGCACUGGCUUGAAACCCAAAGGACUUGGCGGUGCUUUAGACCCACCUAGAGGAGCCUGUUCUAGAACUGAUAACCCCCGUUCAACCUCACCCUGCUUUGCCAUUCCCGCCUAUAUACCGCCGUCGUCAGCUUACCUUGUGAGAGAUUAUAAGUGAGCAAGAUUGGUACAACCCAAAACGUCAGGUCGAGGUGUAGUGUAUAGCAGGGAAAGAAAUGGGCUACAUUUAUCAAUCGAUAA